CCUACGGGGGGCAGCAGUGAGGAAUAUUGGUCAAUGGACGAGAGUCUGAACCAGCCAAGUAGCGUGAAGGAUGACUGCCCUAUGGGUUGUAAACUUCUUUUAUAAAGGAAUAAAACGAGGCACGUGUGCCUUUUUGCAUGUACUUUAUGAAUAAGGAUCGGCUAACCCCGUGCCAGCAGCCGCGGUAAUACGGAGGAUCCGAGCGUUAUCCGGAUUUAUUGGGUUUAAAGGGAGCGUAGAUGGGUUGUUAAGUCAGUUGUGAAUGUUUGCGGCUCAACCGUAAAAUUGCAAUUGAUACUGGCAGUCUAGAGUACAGUUGAGGUAGGCGGAAUUCGUGGUGUAGCGGUGAAAUGCUUAGAUAUCACGAAGAACACCGAUUGCGAAGGCAGCUUACUAAACUGUGACUGACAUUGAUGCUCGAAAGUGUGGGUAUCAAACAGGAUUAGAUACCCUUGUAGUC
RNAcentral lists this ribosomal RNA (460 nucleotides) under uncultured bacterium. RNAcentral describes it as "partial 16S ribosomal RNA". It matches the Rfam family "Bacterial small subunit ribosomal RNA", at positions 338 to 795 of the family's 1533-position model. The record is from RNAcentral.